RNAcentral lists this long non-coding RNA (791 nucleotides) under Monodelphis domestica (gray short-tailed opossum). Its description in RNAcentral is "lncRNA (ENSMODG00000035330.2)". Lineage: Eukaryota; Metazoa; Chordata; Mammalia; Didelphimorphia; Didelphidae. The record is from RNAcentral.
CUUCAUUUCUCUGAUGAAUCUCUUUAAUGUGGAUAUGCCCUUCAGUGAAGUAAAUUCCCACUUUUUCCUGCCUUCACAUCCUGUGCUACUCUUGCCCAAGUCUUUCAUGAAUUCACUACAAUGACUCAGCCCGACAUCGUGGGGUGAAAGGUAGGAAGAGGUUCCUCAUUUUCUCUUGAUAUUACAAGGAUAAUAAUGGAACACACAGGCUCUUCAUUAGUUAAAAGUCCUCAAUCUCUCUUUAUACACAAAUGACCCAUUAUUUUUGAUCUUACAUUUCUUUGGUGAUAUCCUUCAUUCCACUUCAUAAAUCCUUUUGGUUGCCUGCCCACAUGCACCAUGUGGUAACACAAGAGAAAAAGAUUCUUUAAAAAGAGGACAAAAGGCCAGAAGAGGAGAUAUAUUUGAUUCAAGUUUCAAGUUGGAUGAAGGAUCUUGGACUUGGAAGAGAGACUGGAGACAAGACACCUGAGGAGUGACCGGAAGACAGACAUCCAGGCUUCUUUUCAUUCAGACGGUCAUCAUUGUAACUACUGACCAAAAUACAUAUGAGCAGAAGACUUUCCCUUCCAAGCAAUGAAAGAUGCGGACAGUCUCUCAUCCUGCUUCUUGGGGUACUUCAUAGCCCAGCCUGUGGUUCACUGUUUGCCCCUUCCUGCUUCUCGUGACAACCCUCCAAAGAGCUACAAGUUGGGUAUUCCUGGAGGUUAAACUCAAGUGCACAAGUAUUUAUUAAGAACCUUGAAUAUUCCAGGCCCAGUACUCUUAGUGAUAUAAAAAUGAAAUUGAAA